ACGCUGGCGGCAUGCCUAACACAUGCAAGUCGAACGAAGGCUUCGGCCUUAGUGGCGCACGGGUGCGUAACGCGUGGGAAUCUGCCCCUUGGUUCGGAAUAACAGUUGGAAACGACUGCUAAUACCGGAUGAUGACGUAAGUCCAAAGAUUUAUCGCCGAGGGAUGAGCCCGCGUAGGAUUAGGUAGUUGGUGUGGUAAAGGCGCACCAAGCCGACGAUCCUUAGCUGGUCUGAGAGGAUGAUCAGCCACACUGGGACUGAGACACGGCCCAGACUCCUACGGGAGGCAGCAGUGGGGAAUAUUGGACAAUGGGCGAAAGCCUGAUCCAGCAAUGCCGCGUGAGUGAUGAAGGCCUUAGGGUUGUAAAGCUCUUUUACCCGGGAUGAUAAUGACAGUACCGGGAGAAUAAGCUCCGGCUAACUCCGUGCCAGCAGCCGCGGUAAUACGGAGGGAGCUAGCGUUAUUCGGAAUUACUGGGCGUAAAGCGCACGUAGGCGGCUUUGUAAGUAAGAGGUGAAAGCCCAGAGCUCAACUCUGGAAUUGCCUUUUAGACUGCAUCGCUUGAAUCAUGGAGAGGUCAGUGGAAUUCCGAGUGUAGAGGUGAAAUUCGUAGAUAUUCGGAAGAACACCAGUGGCGAAGGCGGCUGACUGGACAUGUAUUCACGCUGAGGUGCGAAAGCGUGGGGAGCAAAC
This 694-nucleotide ribosomal RNA is filed under the name uncultured bacterium. RNAcentral describes it as "bacterial SSU rRNA". It matches the Rfam family "Bacterial small subunit ribosomal RNA", at positions 33 to 773 of the family's 1533-position model. The record is from RNAcentral.